Callithrix jacchus (white-tufted-ear marmoset) is the source of this 141-nucleotide small nuclear RNA. Its record names the gene U4. It matches the Rfam family "U4 spliceosomal RNA". Rfam says of the family: U4 small nuclear RNA (U4 snRNA) is a component of the major U2-dependent spliceosome. The structure of U4 snRNA from yeast and human has been reported. The record is from Ensembl. Lineage: Eukaryota; Metazoa; Chordata; Mammalia; Primates; Cebidae.
GCCUUUGCACAGUGUCAGUAUCAUAGCAAGUGAGUUUCAUAUGAGGCACAAUUAUUGCUAAUAGAAAACUUUUCCCAAUACCCCGCCAUAACGACUUGGAUUAUAAUCAGAAUUGGCAAUUUUUGACGGUCUCCAUGGAGA